This 227-nucleotide unclassified non-coding RNA is filed under the name Glomus sp. RNAcentral's name for it is "partial contains 5.8S ribosomal RNA and internal transcribed spacer 2". The stretch from base 1 to 65 matches the Rfam family "5.8S ribosomal RNA", at positions 84 to 154 of the family's 154-position model. Lineage: Eukaryota; Fungi; Glomeromycota; Glomeromycetes; Glomerales; Glomeraceae. The record is from RNAcentral.
GUGAAUCAUCAAAUUUUUGAACGCAAAUUGCACUCUCCUCGGAGAGUAUGCCUGUUUGAGGGCAGCCUAUAAAAAUCGGCAUUGGUGCUGUUUCGGGGUUGGGUUCGGCGGGAAUUGGGUCAUCUUAAAUCCUUUUGGUUUAAGCGACUUAAAAUUUUUUUUUUGUUUCAUUGACGUUUCUUAGAUCUAUUUCUUUACAAGUUUUAGGGAUUGAUUUUUACUUGACG